GACGAACGCUGGCGGCGUGCUUAACACAUGCAAGUCGAACGGAAAGGCCCUGCUUUUGUGGGGUGCUCGAGUGGCGAACGGGUGAGUAACACGUGAGUAACCUGCCCUUGACUUUGGGAUAACUUCAGGAAACUGGGGCUAAUACCGGAUAGGAGCUCCUGCUGCAUGGUGGGGGUUGGAAAGUUUCGGCGGUUGGGGAUGGACUCGCGGCUUAUCAGCUUGUUGGUGGGGUAGUGGCUUACCAAGGCUUUGACGGGUAGCCGGCCUGAGAGGGUGACCGGCGACAUUGGGACUGAGAUACGGCCCAGACUCCUACGGGAGGCAGCAGUGGGGAAUAUGGCACAAUGGGCGGAAGCCUGAUGCAGCAACGCCGCGUGCGGGAUGACGGCCUUCGGGUUGUAAACCGCUUUCGCCUGUGACGAAGCGUGAGUGACGGUAAUGGGUAAAGAAGCACCGGCUAACUACGUG
This 468-nucleotide ribosomal RNA is filed under the name uncultured bacterium. RNAcentral describes it as "partial 16S ribosomal RNA". It matches the Rfam family "Bacterial small subunit ribosomal RNA", at positions 28 to 507 of the family's 1533-position model. The record is from RNAcentral.